Molecule: ribosomal RNA, 253 nt
Filed under: uncultured bacterium
Lineage: Bacteria
Description: partial 16S ribosomal RNA
Rfam family: Bacterial small subunit ribosomal RNA
Source: RNAcentral
UACAGAGGGGGCAAGCGUUGUUCGGAAUUACUGGGCGUAAAGCGCGCGUAGGCGGUUUGUUAAGUUGGAUGUGAAAUCCCCGGGCUCAACCUGGGAACUGCAUUCAAAACUGACAAGCUAGAGUAUGGUAGAGGGUGGUGGAAUUUCCUGUGUAGCGGUGAAAUGCGUAGAUAUAGGAAGGAACACCAGUGGCGAAGGCGACCACCUGGACUGAUACUGACACUGAGGUGCGAAAGCGUGGGGAGCAAACAGG